GGACAUAGCUCAGUUGCAGAGUUUCUGAUUUGCACACAGAACAUCCCAAGUUCAAUCCCUGGCAUCUCCA
This is a non-coding RNA of Podarcis lilfordi (Lilford's wall lizard), 70 nucleotides long. The record is from the annotation of a GenBank genome assembly. Lineage: Eukaryota; Metazoa; Chordata; Lepidosauria; Squamata; Lacertidae.